This 490-nucleotide ribosomal RNA is filed under the name uncultured bacterium. RNAcentral describes it as "partial 16S ribosomal RNA". It matches the Rfam family "Bacterial small subunit ribosomal RNA", at positions 30 to 507 of the family's 1533-position model. The record is from RNAcentral.
AUUGAACGCUGGCGGCAGGCCUAACACAUGCAAGUCGAACGGUAACAGGAAGAAGCUUGCUUCUUUGCUGACGAGUGGCGGACGGGUGAGUAAUGUCUGGGAAACUGCCUGAUGGAGGGGGAUAACUACUGGAAACGGUAGCUAAUACCGCAUAACGUCGCAAGACCAAAGAGGGGGACCUUCGGGCCUCUUGCCAUCGGAUGUGCCCAGAUGGGAUUAGCUAGUAGGUGGGGUAACGGCUCACCUAGGCGACGAUCCCUAGCUGGUCUGAGAGGAUGACCCGCCACACUGGAACUGAGACACGGUCCAGACUCCUACGGGAGGCAGCAGUGGGGAAUAUUGCACAAUGGGCGCAAGCCUGAUGCAGCCAAGCCGCGUGUAUGAAGAAGGCCUUCGGGUUGUAAAGUACUUUCAGCGGGGAGGAAGGGAGUAAAGUUAAUACCUUUGCUCAUUGACGUUACCCGCAGAAGAAGCACCGGCUAACUCCGUG